AAGGGUUGAAUUUUGCUAAUUUCGUCUUGCACUCGUACACUAUUUUAAAGUCAUUUCGUGAUGAGUCAGGAAAAAAGGAAACGUUCUGAGAAUUGGAGUACUGAAGAAAAAGAUAUACUACGUGAGAUGAUUGGGCAGUCACACCACAUUAUAGAAAAUCGGUGUACAAAAGCUUCCUCCAACAAUAAAAAAACUCAAGAGUGGAAAGAUAUAACAAAGAGAUUAAAUGAAUUGACGGGAAAGUGUAGGUCAGACGGUGAUGUCAAGUUAGCGUGGAAGAGGAUGAAGCUCACAGCUAAAGCCAACUUGUCCACUCAUUGGCAAGAUUUAGGAAAGACGGGGGGUGGGAAUAAGCCCAAGUCGCCUUCACAGGAAGAUCUAGCCACAAUAAAUAUUGUUCCAGGCGAUUUUAUUGUCGAAUAUAAUAAUUU
Long non-coding RNA from Vanessa tameamea, 431 nucleotides. RefSeq lists it as uncharacterized. The transcript is spliced from 3 exons. The record is from RefSeq and is a predicted model, not a curated record. NCBI's taxonomy places the organism in Eukaryota, Metazoa, Arthropoda, Insecta, Lepidoptera, Nymphalidae.